This 468-nucleotide ribosomal RNA is filed under the name uncultured bacterium. RNAcentral describes it as "partial 16S ribosomal RNA". It matches the Rfam family "Bacterial small subunit ribosomal RNA", at positions 28 to 507 of the family's 1533-position model. The record is from RNAcentral.
GACGAACGCUGGCGGCGUGCUUAACACAUGCAAGUCGAACGGAAAGGCCCUGCUUUUGUGGGGUGCUCGAGUGGCGAACGGGUGAGUAACACGUGAGUAACCUGCCCUUGACUUUGGGAUAACUUCAGGAAACUGGGGCUAAUACCGGAUAGGAGCUCCUGCUGCAUGGUGGGGGUUGGAAAGUUUCGGCGGUUGGGGAUGGACUCGCGGCUUAUCAGCUUGUUGGUGGGGUAGUGGCUUACCAAGGCUUUGACGGGUAGCCGGCCUGAGAGGGUGACCGGCCACAAUGGGACUGAGGUACGGCCCAGACUCCUACGGGAGGCAGCAGUGGGGAAUAUUGCACAAUGGGCGGAAGCCUGAUGCAGCAACGCCGCGUGCGGGAUGACGGCUUUCGGGUUGUAAACCGCUUUCGCCUGUGACGAAGCGUGAGUGACGGUAAUGGGUAAAGAAGCACCGGCUAACUACGUG